ACGAAGGUGGCAAGCGUUGUUCGGAUUUACUGGGCGUACAGGGAGCGUAGGCGGUUGGGUAAGCCCUCCGUGAAAUCUCCGGGCCUAACCCGGAAAGUGCGGAGGGGACUGCUCGGCUAGAGGAUGGGAGAGGAGCGCGGAAUUCCCGGUGUAGCGGUGAAAUGCGUAGAGAUCGGGAGGAAGGCCGGUGGCGAAGGCGGCGCUCUGGAACAUUUCUGACGCUGAGGCUCGAAAGCGUGGGGAGCAAACAGGAUUAGAUACCCUGGUAGUCCACGCCUUAAACUAUGAAUACUAAGUGUCGGCGGGUUACCGCCGGUGCCGCAGCUAACGCAGUAAGUAUUCCGCCUGGGAAGUACGGCCGCAAGGUUG
This 369-nucleotide ribosomal RNA is filed under the name uncultured bacterium. RNAcentral's name for it is "bacterial SSU rRNA". It matches the Rfam family "Bacterial small subunit ribosomal RNA", at positions 525 to 896 of the family's 1533-position model. The record is from RNAcentral.